RNAcentral lists this ribosomal RNA (538 nucleotides) under Fusarium tricinctum. RNAcentral's name for it is "eukaryotic LSU rRNA". The stretch from base 154 to 307 matches the Rfam family "5.8S ribosomal RNA". Lineage: Eukaryota; Fungi; Ascomycota; Sordariomycetes; Hypocreales; Nectriaceae. The record is from RNAcentral.
GUCAUGUCUUCGACUAACUCCAACCCCUGUGACAUACCUUAAUGUUGCCUCGGCGGAUCAGCCCGCGCCCCGUAAAACGGGACGGCCCGCCAGAGGACCCAAACUCUAAUGUUUCUUAUUGUAACUUCUGAGUAAAACAAACAAAUAAAUCAAAACUUUCAACAACGGAUCUCUUGGUUCUGGCAUCGAUGAAGAACGCAGCAAAAUGCGAUAAGUAAUGUGAAUUGCAGAAUUCAGUGAAUCAUCGAAUCUUUGAACGCACAUUGCGCCCGCUGGUAUUCCGGCGGGCAUGCCUGUUCGAGCGUCAUUUCAACCCUCAAGCCCCCGGGUUUGGUGUUGGGGAUCGGCUCUGCCUUCUGGCGGUGCCGCCCCCGAAAUACAUUGGCGGUCUCGCUGCAGCCUCCAUUGCGUAGUAGCUAACACCUCGCAACUGGAACGCGGCGCGGCCAUGCCGUAAAACCCCAACUUCUGAAUGUUGACCUCGGAUCAGGUAGGAAUACCCGCUGAACUUAAGCAUAUCAAAACAGGGGGAAGGGAA